RNA transcript from Drosophila santomea, 3453 nucleotides. It is a transcript of the gene named autophagy-related protein 16, with no coding region annotated. The record is from RefSeq and is a predicted model, not a curated record. The transcript is spliced from 12 exons. NCBI's taxonomy places the organism in Eukaryota, Metazoa, Arthropoda, Insecta, Diptera, Drosophilidae.
CAUCACUAAUAUGAACAGCUGAACAACAAUAAUCAUAUUUGGUUAAAAACAAUUAUGCGAAUAAACGCAGCCGCCUUAUAGCGCCCGUGCCACGCCCCCUGCGAUGCGAACAGGCGACCACGCCAAGGUGUCGCCACGAAUCCAGCAAGCAAGGAGAACCCAAGCCAAGAGUCCGGAGUCCCCAGUACGGAACACCCAGAAAUUCCGGGCAGAAACACAAUAAAAACAUGUCUACGGAGGAGCAUGUGUGGCGAGCGCACGUCGUGCGGCGUUUACGCGAGCGGAAUCGCAAGGAGUGCGACAACUUCAAGGAGAUCAUCGAGCAAAACAACCGACUGAUUGACCAUGUGGCGCAGCUCAAGGCGGACAACCUGAAGAUCUCCGUCGAAAACGAGCAGCUCCGCAACGCGGUGUCAACAGGUGGCACCGGCUCCAACGUGGCCAUCGCCACCCUCGAAAAAAAGCUGCUCAGCCAGCAGGAGGAGCUCACCGAGCUGCACAAGCGCAAGGGCGAGAACUCCCAGAUGAUCGUGGACCUCAACCAGAAAGUCGAGCAACAGAGGAUCAUCAUUUCCGAGAAGGAGCACAGCCUCGUCGAACAGCAAACGAACAACAACCGAUUGCGCGCGGAAGUGCAGCUACUUCACUCGAGUUUGGAGGAACUCAAGAAACUGAACAACACCAUGUUGGAUGAGCAUACAGCGCUUCAAUUGGCAUUUAGCUCCCUCGAAGAAAAGAUGAGAGGAGUGCAAGAUGAAAAUCGACGUCUCCUGGAGCGACUUAUGCAAUACAAGUCAAAGGAUGCCGACAAGUUGAACGAGGAAAACGAGAGCAUAAUAAGAAAAAGACUGCCGUCAAUUUUCAGGAAACGUUCGGCUAAACUGAAACGUGACCUAGAAGACGCGGUCCGUGAGCCCAGCUCGUCCAGCAACACCGCCUCCUCGCCCGGCGCCGCAUCCUUGCAGCGCAACUCCAGUCCCGCCCAGUUCGUUGGCGGCCUCAUCGGUGACGAGGACUUCGACGAGGCCGCAAUAAAUGGCGCCAUGGAAGCCAUAGGUCUCGAUGAUAAUGAAUAUAUUAGCGCUCGUUUUACAGCAGGAGGCGAUAUAGCCGAGAACUCCCGGGCUUCCAUUGACACCCUAAAGGCCACCGGCUACCUGGGUCAGGCCAAUCCCACCAAGAUCCUCAUGAAGUUCGAGGCACACGAGAACGAGUCGCAUGCGGUGCGCUGGAGUCCCGUGGAGCGCAUGGUGGCCACCGGUGGCGCUGAUCGCAAAGUCAAACUUUGGGAUAUUGGCAAAAAUUCCACUGAACCACGCGCAGUUCUCAGCGGAAGCAGUGCUGGGAUUAACUCCGUGGAUUUCGAUUCAACAGGCGCCUACAUCUUGGGCACCUCGAAUGACUACGGAGCCAGAGUAUGGACAGUGAUGGACAAUCGCUUAAGACACACGCUGACGGGUCACAGUGGCAAGGUAAUGGCCGCCAAAUACGUCCAGGAGCCCAUCAAAGUGGUGACCGGAAGCCACGAUCGCACACUAAAGAUCUGGGAUCUGCGCAGCAUCGCUUGCAUAGAGACAAAGUUUGCCGGCUCCAGUUGCAAUGAUCUCGUCACCACCGACAGCCUUGGAUCGACGAUCAUCAGUGGGCACUACGAUAAGAAGAUCCGGUUCUGGGAUAUACGCACGGAGAAGCAGGCGGACGACGUCUUGAUGCCGGCCAAGAUCACCUCACUGGAUUUGUCAAAAGAUUGCAAUUACCUCAUAUGCUCUGUAAGAGACGAUACUAUUAAACUGUUAGAUUUACGCAAGAACCAAGUUAUAUCCACGUUCACAAACGAACACUUUAAAAUCAGCUGUGAUUUUGCUCGGGCCUCUUUCAACUCGAGCGGCCUGAAGAUUGCGUGCGGAUCGGCGGAUGGCGCUAUAUACAUUUGGAAUGUGAAUGGUUUCCUAGAAGCCACACUCAAGGGUCACAGCACCGCCGUAAACGCGGUCAGUUGGAGUCCCAACAACAACAUGCUGGCCUCCGUGGGAAAGAACAAGCGCUGCACCAUCUACUCGGAAUCAUAGCCCUAAUGUUGCCAUACUACACACGUCAUUCGAGUCAGUCGGUUGCAAUUGCAAUCAGAAUCAGAAUCAGUUGUUGCAAUUCCGAAACUGAAACGCUUAAAUCUGCAGUCACUGCAAUCACAACGGCCAUGCGGAUGCUGCUGUAAAUAGUAAAUUCGGUUGGCGAGCGGUCGGCGUACGUCUAGAGCCGAAAUUUUAAUAACUUUACUUGAUUAUUUUAUUUAUACUUGAAUCGGAUAUAGUACGCAAAUUGUAUCAAUUCAUAUAGCAGUAGUCAUUAUGCCUGCAAACAAACACAACAAACAAAAAAAAAACAACUACCACUACUGCGGCGUUAAGUACCGCCAGCGAUCUGAAAUCUUGUGGCGCUCCUAAGUGCUGCCACCACUCAAGGUAGUGUCGUUGAAGGCGCAUAGCUAAGUAAAUUAAUUGAGAGUCGAGGAGAGGAAUCCACUCGCCUGGAGGAGCCAACCCAUCCCCAGUCCAUCCAGCCCUGCCAGCUCAGUCCAGCCGAGCAGAGUCGUCCAGAGUGACGGGCAGACGUUUGGACUUGGACAGGAGUCACUUUCCCGUAUGCGAGAGCGCUCCUCCAGCUCCUCCAGCUCCACCAGCUCCACCAGCUAAAGAUAAAGAUACAAAUCUGCACGAAGCCUGUUUCCUGUUCUGCUGAGGGUGCAUUUAUUUGCAUGAUUCACAUUCACACACAACACAACCGGUGUGUGCCUAACGAUACUUAUACAGCUGCUGGAUCUUCGUACAGGUGUACCCCAUCACCAUCGCCAUCACCACACUAUGCACUCCAUAUGCUGUGCACUCCAUGCUCCAUACUGCAUACUCCAUACUCCAUACUCCAUGCGCCAUAAUGAAGACGGGAAGACGUCGAGUCGCUGGGAAAAGUUGGGGCAACAAGCACGACAUUUGGACCUUUCUGCCCACAUCGAAAAGUGAAUCGCUGGCUUUCCUGCCCCGCCGAGGAUCGGGACUUGGAACUUGGAAGUCGGGAGUCGAGACUCGUGCAUUUUGGGCGACUCUAAGUGAGCAUGUUCCUGGAAGCCCUCGACUCGCGUUUACAGUUGGAUGCAUUUUCAGUGCCAUUGAAGUAUAAAUAAUAAUAAUAAUUCGCAGGUGUCUGCAUUCCACGUCCAAUUCGCACAAUUCGUUAUGCGUGGGUAAAAUGCUAAGAUGGCAGUUGGACUCCCAGGCCAGCUCAUCUCCUCAUCCAUUCCCAUUCAUACGAGCAUAUGUAUAUAAAGCUGAUUUCCAUAUAUGAAAGCCAAAUUUCAGAGAAGUUUAUUGCAUGAGCAAUUUGUCCACUAAAAAGAAGUAGAUGAGCCGAUGGAGUAGCACCCCCGAAAUAAGCAAACAGCAUGGGUAUUUCAUUAAA